CUUUAAAAUCAUACAAGUUUGAAAAAGUUCGUGUGGCUCUGAUUAAAAGCACGUUUUUUUUUCCACGGAUGGGUAUUAUCUCACACUUCACUACAUAUAACAAAUCUUUCAAGAUUGAAUUUUUAGAUUAAAGAACAUACAGAGAAGGGCUGGACGAAAAUGGCCAACUUCGUUCUGCAACUGCCAACCAGCAACUUGAGAAGCUUCUCUGUUUAUGCUUCAUCUAACGUUGAAUGCAAACUAGGGGCUCCUAUGGGUACUGGUUCACAAAGUGGGGGCCCUGUGAUUUUGGAGCUUCCGCUUGAUAAGAUCAGGAGACCCCUGAUGCGCACCAGAGCAAAUGAUCCAAACAAAGUCCAGGAACUCAUGGACAGCAUUCGAGAAAUUGGACUUCAAGUACCUAUUGAUGUGCUCGAAGUUGAGGGAGUUUACUAUGGUUUCUCCGGUUGUCAUCGUUAUGAGGCUCACCAGCGCCUUGGGCUCCCAACAAUCCGUUGCAAAGUUCGACGUGGAACCAAAGAAACUCUCAGGCAUCAUCUUCGCUGAGUGGUAGUAUCUGCUUCUUAAAGUGCAUACACAACUUUGAUGAUGUUAAUCAGACAGUAUAUGCACUUCUCAGCUUUUUGCAAGUGCAGUAUAUUCUCAACCUAUUUUAUUCUUGUUCAGGAAAAUUGGAUUACCCUUUGAAUGGCUGGAAACUGUUUGAACACUCCGCACCCAGACUUUCUUGGGAGCCUUGAGCUGAAAAUUCAGUGGCCCUCUUUGCCUUCUGCAUGCUGCUUUAUUCAUUGAAAUUGAUUAAAUGUGUCCAUGGAUUGAUUGACAGUAGUAAGGAAUGGAGCAGAAGAUUUGCUAUCUAUUAGUAAAGUUCUUUCCCUCAAUGUAUAAGACCUUAAUUCUUGUUAGGAGCUUCAACCAAAAACUCUGAAUCGAUGCAUAGGUACCCGUCUUGCAGCCACUCUGCAAUGCUAAACGUGGUUGUGAAAUCAGAAUAUGAUGAUGGAAAAAGCCUGAGGGAUAUCGCAUUUGUUCUUGUAAGGGCUGGAAUCGGAAAUAACAUCAAAAGCUUGCAAGCAAUUCAUCAA
Non-coding RNA from Theobroma cacao (cacao), 1085 nucleotides. Lineage: Eukaryota; Viridiplantae; Streptophyta; Magnoliopsida; Malvales; Malvaceae. The record is from RefSeq and is a predicted model, not a curated record.